Molecule: ribosomal RNA, 468 nt
Filed under: uncultured bacterium
Lineage: Bacteria
Description: partial 16S ribosomal RNA
Rfam family: Bacterial small subunit ribosomal RNA
Source: RNAcentral
GACGAACGCUGGCGGCGUGCUUAACACAUGCAAGUCGAACGGAAAGGCCCUGCUUUUGCGGGGUGCUCGAGUGGCGAACGGGUGAGUAACACGUGAGUAACCUGCCCUUGACUUUGGGAUAACUUCAGGAAACUGGGGCUAAUACCGGAUAGGAGCUCCUGCUGCAUGGUGGGGGCUGGAAAGUUUCGGCGGUUGGGGAUGGACUCGCGGCUUAUCAGCUUGUUGGUGGGGUAGUGGCUUACCAAGGCUUUGACGGGUAGCCGGCCUGAGAGGGUGACCGGCCACAUUGGGACUGAGAUACGGCCCAGACUCCUACGGGAGGCAGCAGUGGGGAAUAUUGCACAAUGGGCGGAAGCCUGAUGCAGCAACGCCGCGUGCGGGAUGACGGCCUUCGGGUUGUAAACCGCUUUCGCCUGUGACGAAGCGUGAGUGACGGUAAUGGGUAAAGAAGCACCGGCUAACUACGUG